AUCGGAACGUGCCCAGUCGUGGGGGAUAACGCAGCGAAAGCUGCGCUAAUACCGCAUACGAUCUAUGGAUGAAAGCGGGGGACCGUAAGGCCUCGCGCGAUUGGAGCGGCCGAUGUCAGAUUAGGUAGUUGGUGGGGUAAAGGCUCACCAAGCCAACGAUCUGUAGCUGGUCUGAGAGGACGACCAGCCACACUGGGACUGAGACACGGCCCAGACUCCUACGGGAGGCAGCAGUGGGGAAUUUUGGACAAUGGGCGCAAGCCUGAUCCAGCAAUGCCGCGUGCAGGAAGAAGGCCUUCGGGUUGUAAACUGCUUUUGUACGGAACGAAACGGUCCUGGUUAAUACCCGGGGCUAAUGACGGUACCGUAAGAAUAAGCACCGGCUAACUACGUGC
This 395-nucleotide ribosomal RNA is filed under the name uncultured bacterium. RNAcentral's name for it is "bacterial SSU rRNA". It matches the Rfam family "Bacterial small subunit ribosomal RNA", at positions 117 to 508 of the family's 1533-position model. The record is from RNAcentral.